RNA transcript from Acanthopagrus latus (yellowfin seabream), 10457 nucleotides. It is a transcript of the gene named low density lipoprotein receptor-related protein 8, apolipoprotein e receptor, with no coding region annotated. The record is from RefSeq and is a predicted model, not a curated record. The transcript has 19 exons. NCBI's taxonomy places the organism in Eukaryota, Metazoa, Chordata, Actinopteri, Spariformes, Sparidae.
AAAAUAUGCAAAUGUGGGAAGCAGUCUGCUGUGACUCAGCAGAAAUGAUGAGACCUGCUGUCUGACUGGUUAACAGCCGGUUUGAUGUAGGCUUUCUUUCUUUUUUUCUACCUACUACUAUAACCGCAGACAACAUCUCUGGCUAUCCCGCCCAUAAGCGUCACUGAUUCAAACUGCAGCCGAGGCAGAGAGAGAGCAGAGCGCCGGGCUGAUCACACACACUCACACUGUCAGGAGCAGAGGCAGCGAGAGGAGCAUACACACACACACACACGGAGCGAGUGAGAGGCUGGGGAUCCUUCACUGCUUUUUCACUUGCAUGAACCGCAACCGUAGACCCCCCCGGGAUCUAAAGAUGUGGACAGAAGUCGGGAAGCUUGUCUUACUACAUUUGUUACUCAUGGAGCUCCAUUGCGCUAAAGGAACUCAUACGGAGUCGGAGUGUGAAGCCGGGCAGUUUCAGUGCAAGAAUGGACGAUGCAUCCCGACCCUGUGGAGAUGUGAUGAUGAUGAUGACUGCUCGGACAGCAGUGACGAGGAGAACUGUCCAAAGAAGACAUGUGCGACUACAGACUUUGCCUGUAAGAACGGACAGUGUGUCCCUGCGAGGUGGCGCUGUGAUGGAGAGCCGGAGUGUGCAGACGGUUCAGACGAGGCUGAUGCAAUCUGCAGCCGACAGACCUGUCCUCCAGAGAAGUUUGAUUGUGGUGGGGCUGCCAGCAAAUGUGUUUCGUUGUCAUGGCGAUGCGACGGCGAACGGGACUGUGAGAACGGAGCAGAUGAGGAGCAGUGUGCUGCAGAUGCAAAGGCUUGCCCCUCCAAAGAUUUCCAGUGCCGUAACGGGAAGUGUGUGGCGCCAAUCUUCGUCUGUGAUGGCGACGAUGACUGUGGGGACGCCAGCGACGAGGAGAAGUGCUCGACGCCCACCUGCGGCCAGCACGAGUUCCGUUGCAAUGACUCCGAGUGCAUCCCUGCCCUGUGGAGUUGCGAUGGCGACCCAGACUGCAAGGACAAAUCAGACGAGUCCAUGGAGCGCUGCAGCCGGAGGACGGAGCCCCAGAAACCUCGCUGUCCGGUGGGCGAGUUCCAGUGUGGGAGUGGGGAGUGUGUUCACAUGAACUGGAAGUGCGAUGGAGACGCAGACUGCAAGGAUAAAUCGGAUGAAGCAAAUUGUCCUCUGCUCACAUGUCGACCUGAUGAGUUCCAAUGUGGUGAUGGAUCCUGCAUCCACGGCACCAAACAGUGUAAUAAAGUUCAUGACUGUCCAGACUACAGCGAUGAAGCGGGCUGUGUCAACGUUACAAAGUGCGAUGGGCCAAGAAAAUUCCGCUGUAAGAACGGGGAGUGUAUUGACAGCAGCAAGGUGUGUGACAAUGUCAAAGACUGCAAGGACUGGUCUGAUGAACCCGUGAAGGAGUGCGGCAUGAAUGAGUGUGCAGACAACAAUGGCGGCUGCUCCCACAUCUGCAGGGACCAGAGAAUUGGCUAUGAGUGCGACUGUCCCUCUGGGUACAAACUCCUGGACAAAAAGACUUGUGGAGACAUAGAUGAAUGUGAAAACCCAGAUGCCUGCAGUCAGAUUUGCAUCAACUACAAAGGAGAUUAUAAGUGUGAAUGCUACGAGGGCUACGAGAUGGACCCUGCCUCUAAGACCUGCAAAGCCGUGGGAUUGAGUCCGUACCUGAUGUUCACCAACCGUCAUGAGAUCCGUCGCAUUGACCUGCUGAAGAGUGAAUACGCACAGGUGGUUCCCACGCUGAAGAACGCAGUCGCCCUGGAUGUAGACGUGUCCACCAACAAGAUGUUCUGGUGUGAUCUCUAUCAUCGCAAAAUAUACAGUGCUUACAUCAACAAGGCCAGUGACUCAUCGCAGCAGGUGACUCUCAUCGACUCCCUCCACUCCCCCGAGGGUCUUGCCGUCGACUGGGUCCACAAGAACAUCUACUGGACAGACUCGGGAAACAAGAGCAUAUCUGUUGCCACAGGAGACGGCCGGAAGAGAAAAGUGCUGAUCGCCACUGAGCUGAGCGAGCCGAGGGCCAUCGCGGUGGAUCCACACCAAGGGUUUAUGUACUGGUCAGAUUGGGGAGAUCAGGCUAAAAUUGAGAAGUCUGGGUUGAACGGAGUGGACCGACAAGUUCUGGUGUCUGAGCACAUCGAGUGGCCCAAUGGAAUCACUCUGGACUUGUCUAACAGACGUCUCUACUGGGUGGACUCCAAGCUGCACCUGCUGUCCAGUGUGGAUCUAAAUGGAGACAACCGUAAAGUGCUGCUGUCCUCCCAUCACCACCUGGCACACCCCUUCGCCCUCACUGUGUUUGAGGAUCGUGUAUAUUGGACAGACUUGGAGGAAGAAGCGAUUUACAGCGCCAACCGACUGACAGGACAUGAUGUUGCAAAGGUGGCAGAGCACCUCAACAAUCCCCUGGACUUGGUGGUGUUUCAUGAACAAAGGCAGCCCAAGGCCCCUGAUACCUGUAACAUGGGCAGUCUGCCUAACGGUGGCUGUGAAUACCUCUGUCUGAAGGCCCCGCAGAUCACUGACCACUCGCCCAAGUAUACCUGUGCCUGCCCUGAUGGCAUGGAGCUGGGACCAGACAUGAGGCGCUGUGCUGUAGUUCGACCCAGAACGACCACAACAGCUGCUCCGUCAACCACCACUACCACCACAACAACCGCUACAACUAGCACUACAGCUGUUACCAGCACCACAGCACCCCCUACCACCACGACCACAAGGCCCACUACCACCUCUGCUGCUACGACUGUCAGGCCCACGACCAGACGCCUGACAACAUCAGCCCCUCCUCAGACCCCCAGGAGAACCUCUACAGAGCAGCCUCGCACCCCUGCCGCUACAAGUACAGAGACGACCAGUUUGAGCAGCACAAGCAGAACAUCCACACACACACCCCUACUGGGCCCAGUGGCCCCCAACAGCAUUCAAAGAGAGAGCAAUGGCAACCUCUCUCACAGGGCUGCGAGUGAUCACUACCUCAUAGGUAACAACAUCACAGUAGCUGUUCUGGGGAUAGUCAUUCCUAUCGUCCCUAUCCUUGCCACAGUGGUCAUUGGAUUACUCUGCACCGGCGGAUACCUGGUCUGGCGCAACUGGCGGCGCAAGAACACCAAGAGCAUGAACUUCGACAACCCAGUCUACCGCAAAACCACGGAGGACGACGAUGACGAAAUCCACAUUGGACGGCACAGCGAGUCCAUCGGCCACGUGUACCCAGCAGUGAGUGGCAGCCACAGUCAGCCAUUCAUAGCGCUCCCUCUAGGGGGCGGCAUCACAGACAGCAACUCUCACUGGUACUCAGGGGCGCCAAUGCUGUCCAGCAGCAAAUGAGGGAAGCUGCAGGAGAAAGCAAGGGGUUUGGAAUAUUUGAGAUAUGGGAGUAUGUGCAGGGGUUUGGAAAAGCCUGUUUGUUGUACAUGUUUGCCUGGAAAGAAAGAACAGGCUCGCACACGCACACGCCCACAUUCUCACACAUGAGUUUUGCAGUUAUCACUGAAAACACAGAUCGUACGAACACAUAAGCCCUUCACCAGCACAUCGCAUGAAUUUCACCUUCAUGACCAUAAUCAUACAGUACAUUUGUUUAUCAACAUCACAUCUUUGUCGCCAACCUGCCAUCCCAUUUAUUUGUACACUACGUUAGUUUUUCUGGUUGUUGAUGUUUGUUCUGUUACUCAGAGACUUGUGUUUCUUACGGAGCUCCUGUUUCCUUACAAAACUCCUUACACAGACACAUGUCAUCUUUGUUUAGAGAAGCAGCUGAUUUUUCCCACAUGGUCACUAGAAAACAGAAAAUAUGUGCCACAAGGUAUUAUCCUUGUUAGAGAGGAAUUUCAUGGAUGUUUUCUUUGUUAUGUUUGCUGCUAAAAAUGAUAACAAAGAGCCAUCCAGACAUUAGACGGGCACUGAGGCUUUAAUAAUCACCGCUGUACUGAUGCAGUGGGUAUGAAAGAGAGAUGUAUGAUGAGGGAAGCCGUGCUGUGGCGUCGUUGUUUAUUAUCAGUAAAUUAUUUUAGUGCUGAGAUGCUUUUACAGCAGAGAGGGGACUAGUUUUAUUGUUGAAAUCUGACUGGAAGGACAGCAGAGCACAGGAACAUUCCGCAAAUAAAAUUUGGAAUGGAUAGUGAUAUCAUGACAUUGCCCUGAUGUGAAUUUUAUGCUCUUGUUAGAGUGUAAAUGCAACAUGGAGAGUAAAAAGGGGAGCACAAAUCAGAACCAAGGACAGUCAAAAUGACAAUUUCUUAUAUUUUUGAACUGCAGACUGCCCUGUUGAUUUCUCUUGGAUGCAGAAGCAUUUUUUGAGAAUCGGGCAUGAAGCUGCAUUCUCUACAAACUCUCGAAACAAUGCCAGCUCUGAUUUGCACUCAAAUGCCCUUAAAAAAGUGUGUCAUCAGGACACUCCUGACAUUUAUUGAAUAUAUUUGUAUUUUCUGCGUGGAGCGAGCAGGGAAGGGCAGCCAAAAAGGAUUAUGCGAGGGGGGGAGAGUCAAGCGCUUUGAUCGGUUGGCAUGGUAACACAGAUUUCUUUGUGUUGCUCCAGAGAGAAAGGAGGCAGGGAAUUCUGGGUAUCACUGGCAUGAUGACAGGCUGGAAAACACACACUCACACAUACACACACACAAAACAGGUGCACGUCUGAGUCAUAUUAAGAUUCAAGGUCGAAUUAACAACCAUCCUCAGUGUCUGGCUGCACAGAGGGAACUACACUCUCUCUGUGUUCUUCUUGUGUGUCCAAAUCUCUUUUAUUGUCCUCUGAUUUUUAUUUAUUUUUUUCUUGUUUUCUUCCUCUCCUUUCAUGGCAAUGUGGUAACUCUGACAACCAGAGAAAUUAGGUUGGCAUUAUAUGGGCCAGACAUUUACAGCCGUAGGCAAGCAUCCUGCAUUCCUCACAUAAGAGCAGCCAGAGAAGGAGAGAAUGAACAAGGGAAGGGGGCCUGAAGAGGAAGCGCGUGGCACUCAGUCUGGAGGAUGAUGGCUAUCCCUGAGGGGAGGACGCAUUCUGCUCCCCCCCCUUCUCCCCUCAAUUCCAUCCUGGCCCCUCCUCUCACCACAGCCUCUACACCGCUACAAUGAGGCCAGUACAACGCAGACGAGAAAAAGAGAAGGAGUCCUAAUUUUGCCUCCCUGGCAAAUGAGGAGCGAGGAUGACACGUACAUCUCUCCUACUACUACAUUACUACCACUACUAGCCACUACUACUUCCCUUAGUGCUAGUUGAUUUGUAGUCUCCGCUCCUCUCCUCUCUUCUCUCUGCCUCUCAUUAGCUGUAGUGGUGUGUAAAAUGCUGCUUGAUGAUUUUGCUCGAACUAACCUCAUUUGGCUAUCUCAGUGCACAUUGUAAAUAGAAGGCUAUCUGGCCACCAUACAAGGGGGAAAAGCUGGCAUGCAUUAUUUUGAAUUCCUCAUUAUGACUCUUUAUUUAUUUGUUUGUGUUUGCUGUUGUAAAUAUGUCAUCAGCAUCUCUCUUAAGGCAGAUUAGUUUGAGCUUGCAAGGAUAUACAGUACAGCAAGGACGUUAUUUUUCUUCAUAGUUCCCUUUACAUUGUCGGGAGACAUGACAGAUUUAUUUCAAACAACAGGGGAAUGUCAUCCUUUCUCACACCCGGCCUCUCACAUUUGCCCCAUGGCAUACUGUAUGUAGGCAGGCAAAGCUAAAUAUAGCCAAGGGGAAAGGAGACAGAAAAAAAAAUGAUGGGGGUGUCUGUGUGUUUGGAGGUGAUUUCGGGGUGAAAUAGUAAGGGGGAAUGGGUGGAUUUGUGCCACCAGAGGGUAGUGCCUCAAGGCAAAAAGCAGCAGGGCAGAAAAGGCUAAGGAUUAUGGGUAAUCCUCUCUCCUGGUAUCGAGGUGCGCCAGCAGUCAAUGAACUUGAGAUUGUUUGUUUAUUUGCAAUGGGUGUUAAGACUCACACAUGCGCUCCCGUCUUUUUUUUUUCUUUUGAGUCCUGUCUUUGUGUCUGCUGCCAUCAAUAUUUUGGAGGUAAACCUGUGAAGUGUUACAAAACACCUUCCUGUGACUGUUUGAGAUAAGAAAAUGGUGUUUUGAGGGACUGAGUUUUAUCACUUCCUGCUGCCGAACACAAUCGUUAGUGUUUGAACUUGCCCACCCCAUACACACUGAUCCCAGGGACUUCUUAGCUUCACUUCUCCGUCUUUACUCCCCCUCUUUAACAAUGUGCGUUUUCUAGAUGAGAUGCUGUUCUACAUUUGGAAGGAAUGAUUUUCUGCUGUCACUGCGAGUUCAGCGUGGCUGUUAGUGGCCCUGAUUUGUACAAGCAGAUGAGUAAUAAUACGCAGAGGCUGACUGAGCCGGGUGCUGAUUUGAUUUGAAAGCUGAAUAGAGAGGAAACGUGUUAACCAGCAUAAAGAGAUGAUCCUCCAUUGGCUUGCCACAGACAAGCUUCCAGCCCAUUGAAUCAGAUGGAAUUCAUGCCCAGUGACUAUUGCAAUAAUUGCUCACAGUGUGUUGUUAGUGUGAAUCACUAGGAGCGGUCAUGACAACUUCAGAAGGUAGCUGUUACAAGUCGUGGCAAAUGAUUUAUUUUCUGGAUGCCGUUCAGUCUCAAUAAAGGGCAUUUUGAAGCUACAAACACUUCCAAGACAUUUUUAUAAGCUUUACAUUGUCUGAACUAUACAUACAACACUGGUCUUCCAUUCAACAUAUUUGAACGAUGUUGUAUUUCAGUUGAGUUGGACCUAGAAGUGCUUCUCUUUGGCACACCUGCAGUCUUUUCAUGAACUUAUAUAUACUUUAUGACUGAAUAAGCAAAAAAAAAAAAAAAGGACAGAAUGCAAAAUUAAAGUCUUCCAAUACAGGUUCAAUCUAACUGUGCAUACAAACACACAGUUGAUUAAUGGUUGUUAUUAUUCAUAGUUUCCUGGAAAGGUCUGCUACAUGUAAUGCUCUGGAAACCACAGGGGAGGAAGAAAGAAACGCACACAGACAAACGUAGGCAGGAAACGACUGCCAGGAUUAAGAAUAGACUCUAUGCGAACAGGUUUGUGCUCGGAAGAUGAAUGGUGGGCCAUUUAUUUUGCCAGAUUUCUGCUGAUGUUGUGUCUCAGUCACUUCCCUCAGAAGGAUGACACUUAGUCUGUGAUGCACAGUGGGGGAUGUGUAUGUACUGUAUGUGGCAAGUGGCAUGCUAGACGGGUAAAUUAUACCCCUCUCCAGCGCUGCACUCCCCUAUGUCUAUCUAAUGAAGGAGGAUUGAGCACAAGGGAGAGGCCAUCUCCUUCAUCUUUACCUCCUACACAUGAAGAAAAAAUAAAACGUAUUACACGGUGAGGAAGAGUGUGUCUCAGCUCAGAAGGAUCACGGGCUGGUUCAGCAGCUGUUUUUUUUUUUGUUGGGGGGGGUUUGGCAGAAUUUAGGAUUGACAUCGAUAAAACUGUACAUUUGGUAGCUGCAUUUUAGCAUUGAACUAUGGUCCUUCUUUAAUGUUAUGAAGAUUAUUUUUGAUGAAGUCCUAAGGGAAAGUUGAGGGUGAUAAGAAACGUCUCAGGGCUCAGGUAUCUUUGUGAAUUUCAGAUUAAAUAAAUCCCACUGCUGGAUUGAACUCUUGGCUCUGCACCCUCCAUAGUUUCCUUCAUGUGCAUGGUUGCUGCAGGUGUGGUGGGGUUUUCAUCCUGUGGGUUUGCAGAUAGGAGUAUAAAUCAGUUAUUUAUUGAGGUGACUGAGCAUGGCAUUGUCAGAAAUGUAUUAUUGCGGUAGUGUGAAGACAGAUUGGCUGAUCCACUUUGUGGCCACCUUGAGAACCGUCAUCUCUACUGGAGGACGCAGAAGGAAGAAACUUUUGUCAUUCAUCAUAGGCUAGGUAGUAACUGUAUGUGUUGCAGAGGACAGUAUGCUCUCUGGACAUUCUCAUGGAGCUGAUCAGUGCUCUUGUGGCAGUGUAAUCCUGGUUAUAAUCAUCCAUAAUCAGUUAGAUUCAUUAACAACAGGCUGCGGUUGAACAGAUCAAGUCCAGCACUCUGCCUCAUGCUGAAGAGGCUGAAGAACAAUUAAUAGUGUGUUUAUGUACGUUAAUAACAUAUGUGCAGCUAUUCAGUUACUGUAAUACAGGUGAGAUGUUGUAUAGCUAAGUUUGUUUCUCCCGGGUCAGUUAUUUGUUAUACGUUUAAAUCUUGCUCAGUAGUUGAUGCGCUGCUGCAAGUAAAAACAUCAUAUCUUACAAAAAAUCUAUUUAACACCACAAAAGCACUGUUCAAAUGCAAACAGCAGUAUCAUGUUGGACUAUAUUGCACGCCAUUCUUAUAUGUCUGGGGCAACCAUAUUGAAUUUACUAAAGAGACCUAAUGAGACAUCAUUCACACAUCUAAGUGACACUGGAUUAAAAUGCUGUUUUUAAUGAGUAAACGUGGAAGUUCACAACAAUAUUACACAAUAUACAUCUUUCAGUCUCGUGACUUUAUGCCUGUAUCGACAUGAGACUAAAUAACCAAAUAAUCAAUUGAGGUAAUGUUAUCAGAUAUUUCCCAUUCACUUCUUACUCUGGUACACAUAUUUCUCCAUGUAUGCAUAUACUGGCAUAUAUUUAGUCCCAUAUUCCUUUACCGUCAGUGAAUUGUCACUGAGACACCACAAGCAGCUGGUGUGACACAAUCCUGAUUCUAGAUCUCAGCUUUGGAUAUAUAUGCACGUUUUCCAUAGAAUAUCUACAUUGUGUAGGCCUAACCAACCUAGAGAUUUAACUCUAGCCCCUUUUACACUCUCUUCAAAGUGGGAACUUUGCAACGUUAUCCCUCCUUGCCGUCUUUAUAGAAGUUACAAAGGUAGACAGUUUCGUUCCGCCGCUGAUCCACCAGCAGAUGUAGUAACCGAGUCAUAACGGAGGCGACAUGGCAAAGGAGGCAUUAUGCUGGUGCUUCUUGGCUCAGGAUAAAAAAAACAAGAUGCGAGAAUUUGUCACAGCACUGUUACAUAAUAUUUGUUUGAAAGGCGCUUCUGUUUAAAGAUAGCGGAAUAUUCCUCACGAGUCCUCGUGCGUAAUAGGCAGGUUACCACCACCAAAGUUCAAACUAAAUCAAGUCAACUAUGGCACGGUUGCCUGUCGUUUAUUUUAUAUGAAAGAUGUUCGAAGUCAGAGCUCAUUAUAGCAAAUUCUAACAGCCAUGAUGACCCAUAAAUCUAAUAUAAUUGUAUCCUGUAAUUCUAGAGUUCCUGAUUUGUGCUUCCUGUUUUUAAUUCUCCUGUUGCUUGUCCUUUCCUUCGUCUCUGCACUCUUUCUAAUAGUUGUCUCCACUGAAUCUGACCCAUGCUGCUUAAACCAGAACACACUGACUGCUUUCUAACAUCACUCACAUUUCUCCACCACUUUACAUCCUUCAAGCACUGUAUCAAAUGCAGGGUCAACCGUGAGGCAUCUAGACCUCCUGUGGUUGUCACACUACUGAUUUUUAGUUUAAAGAGCAAAGUCAGCGUCAUUGUCUCUUUGCACUCUCAUUCUCUCGCCCUCCCAUUCUCAUGACAUCUUUCCUUUGGCAAGGGCUAUCAGUUUUUGGGUAGACAGACACCGAAAGAUUGGAUAAAAACACACUGGAGGAAAUAACCUGCAAUCCCAAAAAUAACAAAGGAAACCCCCAGAGCUGGAGAAAAAGAGCCCUCCCGACCGUGAACCAGCGAACAGGGGAGCAAGCACGCUCAGGCAGGAGAAGCAGCACCCUAACCACCACCUCCACCUGCACCCCCCAACCAGCCACAGUUUCAGACUGUUGAAGGAGCCCUCAUUGACUCUACUUGGCUGACAUUAGCCCUCAUUGACCCAGUGACUUUCCUUCACCAGCUGGUUCCUCUUAUUAUCAUGUGUUUUUUGGACUGUUAGUCUGUGAGUUGUAGUUGUUGCUCUCUCUCUCUCUGUCUCUUUUCACCAAGCUGUUCUGUUUCAUAUUUGAUCUUGAUUACUUGAAGGGCAGUGUCCAGUCGCCUACAUUUUUCUACCAGUGUAACAUAAGGUUGGGGGGGCGGGCAGCAAUGUGGAAGUUGUGUGUGUAAAUCCUGUAAUGGUUCUGGAUGAUGAUAUACAGGGGAAAUAUUUUGAUAUGUAAUUAUCACAGAUUUGGACAUUGUACUUCAACAAUUGACUCGCUGCAAAUACGAUCGGCUCCAAUUCUUUGCAAAACUGUCUGCCCACAUUUCCUCCAAAUGUUGCUGAUGUGUCAUCGCCUGCAAGGAAAUCUCAAACACCAUUCGGGGCUCCGUCCAUCCCACAGCCAUACGACAGGUAUUUUUUUUACGCUGUUUGUUGCACAAAACUUUUCAAGAAGCCUUCUGCACUGUGUAAAGAGAUAACGUUCUUGGGAGGGGAGGAAAUUAAAAAGGGGGGGGUGGUUCAAUGGUACAGUCCAAUGGUUUUGAAUCGUGACUUGUAAAUACGUUUUCAUACAGCAAAAACUUUUUGAUAAUGUUUUAAAUGUAUCUGUAAAAAAACAACAAAAAAAAA